GACGAACGCUGGCGGCAUGCCUAAUACAUGCAAGUCGAACGCUGAAGCACUCUGCUUGCAGAGUGCGGAUGAGUGGCGAACGGGUGAGUAACACGUGGGAAAUCUGCCUAUAAGAGGGGGAUAACAUUCGGAAACGGAUGCUAAUACCGCAUAUAUUCUUGGACCGCCUGGUCCUAGAAAGAAAGACGGCUUUGCUGUCGCUUAUAGAUGAUCCCGCGGCGUAUUAGUUAGUUGGUGGGGUAAAGGCCUACCAAGACAAUGAUACGUAGCCGACCUGAGAGGGUGAUCGGCCACACUGGGACUGAGACACGGCCCAGACUCCUACGGGAGGCAGCAGUAGGGAAUCUUCCACAAUGGGCGAAAGCCUGAUGGAGCAAUGCCGCGUGAAUGAAGAAGGUCUUCGGAUCGUAAAGUUCUGUUAUUAGAGAAGAACAAGUCAAGGAGUAACUGUCUUGACUUUGACGGUACCUAACCAGAAAGUCACGGCUAACUACGUG
This 497-nucleotide ribosomal RNA is filed under the name uncultured bacterium. RNAcentral's name for it is "partial 16S ribosomal RNA". It matches the Rfam family "Bacterial small subunit ribosomal RNA", at positions 28 to 507 of the family's 1533-position model. The record is from RNAcentral.